Molecule: long non-coding RNA, 1372 nt
Filed under: Betta splendens (Siamese fighting fish)
Lineage: Eukaryota; Metazoa; Chordata; Actinopteri; Anabantiformes; Osphronemidae
Description: lncRNA (ENSBSLG00000018731.1)
Source: RNAcentral
AUGACGUUCUUCCAAAACACAUUAAGCUGCAGUGGGAGGUCGACGGAGAACAACGCGCAGCACAAUCGGGAUUUGGGAAGUAUAGGCAAACACGGAGCAGGCGGGAGCUCCGGCGUCGACUUCCAGCAAAGCGCGGCAGCGAAGUGUUGGCGCUCCCAGCGUGAGCCUGAACGGGCCCACGUCCAACGCUGCCGCGCCACGACCACAUGUUUGAUGUCAGAUCCGCCGCUCCGCUUUAAACCUGCGUGUUCUGCUGGCGGCGAAGUCGACCUUCCAACGGGAACCUGCUUAAAAACGAGCUCCCAAAGGAGCGCCGGGUUCCUGCAGCGAAUGGGAGCAGGAAGUACACAUCUGGAUGCAGCAUCUGGAUGAAGCAUUGGCUCUGGUCCCUGAACCUCACAUGUGUGGACAUGAGCAUGUGUCCCCCCCCUGCACUCAAUAAUUCUGUACACUACAAUUUAUAUCCCUAAUUUAUUGUCUCAGUGAAUCUAAACGGGUCAGACUUGGACUCUUCCAGAAAAAGCCCUGGAAAAAGCCUUCAACUGUGAUUUCCUGUGAAAUAAUUUAAAAGUGAUUCAUUUUCACUCCUUUAAUGAGUUUAUUUAAAACGUUGAUUGUGUUUAUGUAACAAAAUGUCUAGUUUAGUCAGUAGCUUUGUGUUAAUGAGUCUUAGUGCCUUUUGCUACUUACAUAAAGCCCUUAAAAAGCUCAGGGAAAGCAAUUAAUAUGAAAAAAAGGCCGUGUGAUUCAGGACGUUGCUCCAGCUGCGUAGUCAAAGUACACGUAAAUGUAAAUUCAGCAUUACUCACCUCGGUCCCGCUUGCCAGUGUGUAAUUGAAAAACUGUGGGAUGCUGGAGAAUGAGUAAUGGGGCCCAGGCACCUAUAAUGGAUCAUUUCAGGUUUCUUUUCUGUUCACCACAAUGACCGGCCAAAGAAAAGUCUUUCAAGUGCGCUCAGUGAGGAGUGUGUUUGUUGGGCCGGGCCCAGCGCUGCUGCGGCCUGGCCGCGGGCCCGGCAGCCUCGUCUUUGGACAACAGUGAGCAGUCGAGGGGAGAAGCAGGAAAACAGAAUGAUGAACUUUACCGUGGUGGCAGAACAAGGUCGUCGUGACUCACCGCGCACUGACUUGGACUUUUCUCCUCUCGCCUCAACCUUGACACGCGUUUGAAGGCAACCUGGGAGAUGAGUGGAGGGACAGAUCAGCGUCUGAGACAGAAGCGUUCACAGCCAAACACGAGUGCAAACGAGACGUUUAACAGUUUAAGCGCCUUUGAAGAUUAUGGAUUCUUCUCAGCUGAGUGGAGUUCACUUCAGCUGUUCUGAUUUGUUAUUGUUGAUAUUUAUUAUUGCUAUUAAUAAUCCUGAAUGUCC